CCCAUUUUGCCAUCAGCGCCAGGAAGCACUGCCUUACAUUUCUGCAUGCAGCUCAAACUCAGAAGCCCCCAAGCAAGCCGGGAUAUAGCCUCUUCAUUGGCUGCAGCUCCUCCGAGCAGGAUUUGCUGAGAAGAAAAUGAUCAAGAGGUUAGCAAGAUGGGAAGCAACCAGCACGUUUGCAAAUAGGGAAAUCAAACAAUGUCACAUCAAAAUAAGAAGGAAGGAAAUCCAGCCAGCUAAGCAGGUCACACAAUUCUCCCACACGGGAAGACCUCUUUGGCUGGAGCCCAAGAUGUUGGACUGAGUUUCUCCUGAAACAAUCAGGUGCGGGGGGAGCCCCCACAAUGACUAGACACGUGUGGCUCACCUGCUGAACUAACCCCAUUGAACUAGACUCUGGACCAUCAUCAUCAGGGAGAGGAGUUGCCGAGGGAACUGCAGCUCUGUGGGGCAUAAGCUACUCAGCCUCUUGUAGUUGUGUGCAAAAAAAGAUGUGUGAUUAAUAAGCAAUAGGAAGGACAAUUACAAUGGCGGGAGAGAUGAAGUGAGCUGAAUGUCAUUGGAAUUGGGCCACUUCCCCAAGCUUUAGGGCUGGUGGGAUGCUGUUUCUUGUUACAGCUAAUAAAUUGCUCAACAAAUAUUUAUUGAAGGCCAACUA
Molecule: long non-coding RNA, 658 nt
Organism: Orcinus orca (killer whale)
Lineage: Eukaryota; Metazoa; Chordata; Mammalia; Artiodactyla; Delphinidae
Exons: 3
Source: RefSeq, a predicted model, not a curated record